CCAGGGGGCCGGGCAGCCGCGUCAUCGCAUUUUGCGAUGCCGAGGAAAGUCCGGGCUCCACGAAACAAGGGUGGCGGGUAACGCCCGCCGGGGGCAACCCCAGGGAAAGUGCCACAGAGAACAGACCGCUAACCGGAGCAAUCCGGCAGCAAGGGUGAAACGGUGCGGCAAAAGCGCACCGCGCGCGCCGGUAACGGCCGCGGCACGGCAAACCCCACCCGGAGCAAGACCGAAUAGGGGCAUCGCGCCGGAUUUCCGGCAGGCGCGUUUCACGCCAAGGAUCGCAAGAUCCUGCGCUGCCCGGGUUGGUUGCUGGAGCGCACGCAGCAAUGCGUCGCCGAGAGGAAUGGCUGCCCGUGCCGAUACGGUCCGUGUUCAAGCGGAUACCGUCGGUGCGACAGAACCCGGCUUACAGGCCCCCUGGCAUC
Molecule: RNase P RNA, 428 nt
Filed under: Novosphingobium nitrogenifigens DSM 19370
Lineage: Bacteria; Pseudomonadati; Pseudomonadota; Alphaproteobacteria; Sphingomonadales; Sphingomonadaceae
Description: Bacterial RNase P class A
Rfam family: Bacterial RNase P class A
About the family: Ribonuclease P (RNase P) is a ubiquitous endoribonuclease, found in archaea, bacteria and eukarya as well as chloroplasts and mitochondria. Its best characterised activity is the generation of mature 5'-ends of tRNAs by cleaving the 5'-leader elements of precursor-tRNAs. Cellular RNase Ps are ribonucleoproteins.
Source: Rfam by way of RNAcentral